Molecule: ribosomal RNA, 497 nt
Filed under: uncultured bacterium
Lineage: Bacteria
Description: partial 16S ribosomal RNA
Rfam family: Bacterial small subunit ribosomal RNA
Source: RNAcentral
GAUGAACGCUGGCGGCGUGCCUAAUACAUGCAAGUCGAGCGAACGGACGAGAAGCUUGCUUCUCUGAUGUUAGCGGCGGACGGGUGAGUAACACGUGGAUAACCUACCUAUAAGACUGGGGUAACUUCGGGAAACCGGAGCUAAUACCGGAUAAUAUUUUGAACCGCAUGGUUCAAAAGUGAAAGACGGUCUUGCUGUCACUUAUAGAUGGAUCCGCGCUGCAUUAGCUAGUUGGUAAGGUAACGGCUUACCAAGGCAACGAUGCAUAGCCGACCUGAGAGGGUGAUCGGCCACACUGGAACUGAGACACGGUCCAGACUCCUACGGGAGGCAGCAGUAGGGAAUCUUCCGCAAUGGGCGAAAGCCUGACGGAGCAACGCCGCGUGGGUGAUGAAGGUCUUCGGAUCGUAAAACUCUGUUAUGAGGGAAGAACAUAUGUGUAAGUAACUGUGCACAUCUUGACGGUACCUAAUCAGAAAGCCACGGCUAACUACGUG